RNAcentral lists this non-coding RNA (147 nucleotides) under Nomascus leucogenys (northern white-cheeked gibbon). The record is from Rfam by way of RNAcentral. Lineage: Eukaryota; Metazoa; Chordata; Mammalia; Primates; Hylobatidae.
GCCGGGCAUGGUGGCGCAUGCCUGUAAUCUUAGGUACUUGGGAGGCUGAGGUGGAGGGAUCGCUUGAGCUCAGAGGUGGAGGCUGUAGUGAGCCAGGUUUGCACCACUGCACUCCACCCUGGGUGACAGAGUGAGACUCUGUCUCAA